Molecule: ribosomal RNA, 1483 nt
Filed under: human gut metagenome
Description: bacterial LSU rRNA
Rfam family: Bacterial large subunit ribosomal RNA
Source: RNAcentral
UACUGGAUGGCCGAUGGGCCCUGUGGGUUACUGACGUCAGCCAAACUCCGAAUGCCAUUAGGUGUAGCGUGGCAGUGAGACUGCGGGGGAUAAGCUUCGUAGUCGAGAGGGAAACAGCCCAGAUCAUCAGCUAAGGCCCCUAAGCGUACGCUAAGUGGGAAAGGAUGUGGAGUCGCGGUGACAACCAGGAGGUUGGCUUAGAAGCAGCCAUCCUUGAAAGAGUGCGUAAUAGCUCACUGGUCAAGUGGUUCUGCGCCGACAAUGUAGCGGGGCUCAAGCGUACCGCCGAAGCUGUGGCAGCAACACGCGUGCUGGCGCCAGGAACUGGUUGUUGGUGUGUUGUUGGGUAGGGGAGCGUCCUGCAUGAGGUGAAGCCUGGAGGUAACUUCUGGUGGAUUGUGUGGGAGUGAGAAUGCAGGCAUGAGUAACGAAUCUGCGGUGAGAAUCCGCAGCGCCGAUUGACUAAGGGUUCCAGGGCUAGGUUUAUCCGCCCUGGGUUAGUCGGGUCCUAAGGCGAGGCCGACAGGCGUAGUCGAUGGACAACCAGUUGAUAUUCUGGUACCGCGUUGUGACCGUCCAUGCUGAAGUCAUUGUGCUAACCAAUUUGCUCACGCCACCACGUAACCUUCGGGUUUGUUGGUGUGUGUGGGUCUUGGGGUCCCGGUGAUUGUAGGCAAGCGUGUUAACAGGGGUGACGCAGACAGGUAGCUGCAGUGCGCCGAUGGUUGUGCGUAUUUAAGGUUGUGGCCCGUCCCUCAGGUAAAUCCGGGGGGCAUGUGGGUGAGAACUGAUGAGGGUGACACGAUAGUGUUGUCUUGUGGUGAUCCUAUGCUGCCGAGAAAAGCCUCGACGUGAGGGCAUGACGCGCCCGUACCCUAAACCGACUCAGGUGGUCAGGUAGAGUAUACCGAGGCGUUCGAGUGAAUCGUGGUUAAGGAACUCGGCAAAAUUCCUCCGUAACUUCGGGAUAAGGAGGACCCCGUGACUUCCCCGCACCGUGCGUGUGGGUGGGGUUGUGGGGUCGCAGAGAAUAGGGAGAAGCGACUGUUUAUCAAAAACACAGGUGCGUGCGAAGCCGUAAGGCGAUGUAUACGCACUGACGCCUGCCCGGUGCUGGAAGGUUAAGAGGAACCGUCAACACCCACUUGUGGGUGUGAAGCGGUGAAUUUAAGCCCCAGUAAACGGCGGUGGUAACUAUAACCAUCCUAAGGUAGCGAAAUUCCUUGUCGGGUAAGUUCCGACCUGCACGAAUGGCGUAACGACUUCUCCGCUGUCUCAACCGCGAACUCGGUGAAAUUGCAGUACGAGUAAAGAUGCUCGUUUCGCGCAGAAGGACGGAAAGACCCCGGGACCUUUACUAUAGCUUGGUAUUGGUGUUCGCUUGGACUUGUGUAGGAUAGGUGGGAGACUGUGAAGCUGCCGCGCCAGCGGUGGUGGAGUCGUCGUUGAAAUACCAUUCUGGUUCAAGCGGUCACCUUAACCU